RNAcentral lists this ribosomal RNA (279 nucleotides) under uncultured bacterium. RNAcentral describes it as "partial 16S ribosomal RNA". It matches the Rfam family "Bacterial small subunit ribosomal RNA", at positions 506 to 784 of the family's 1533-position model. The record is from RNAcentral.
UGCCAGCCGCCGCGGUAAUACGGAGGGUCCAAGCGUUAUCCGGAUUUAUUGGGUUUAAAGGGUGCGCAGGCGGAACUUUAAGUCAGUGGUGAAAUCUUGCCGCUUAACUGUAGAUGUGCCAUUGAAACUGGGAAACUUGAGUAUGGACGAGGUAGGCGGAAUUUGUGGUGUAGCGGUGAAAUGCUUAGAUAUUACACAGAACACCGAUUGCGAAGGCAGCUUGCUAAACUAUGAUUGACGCUGAUGCACGAAAGCGUGGGGAGCGAACAGGAUUAGAUA